RNAcentral lists this ribosomal RNA (497 nucleotides) under uncultured bacterium. Its description in RNAcentral is "partial 16S ribosomal RNA". It matches the Rfam family "Bacterial small subunit ribosomal RNA", at positions 28 to 507 of the family's 1533-position model. The record is from RNAcentral.
GAUGAACGCUGGCGGCGUGCCUAAUACAUGCAAGUCGAGCGAACGGACGAGAAGCUUGCUUCUCUGAUGUUAGCGGCGGACGGGUGAGUAACACGUGGAUAACCUACCUAUAAGACUGGGAUCACUUCGGGAAACCUGAGCUAAUACCGGAUAAUAUUUUGAACCGCAUGGUUCAAAAGUGAAAGACGGUCUUGCUGUCACUUAUAGAUGGAUCCGCGCUGCAUUAGCUAGUUGGUAAGGUAACGGCUUACCAAGGCAACGAUGCAUAGCCGACCUGAGAGGGUGAUCGGCCACACUGGAACUGAGACACGGUCCAGACUCCUACGGUAGGCAGCAGUAGGGAAUCGUCCGCAAUGGGCGAAAGCCUGACGGAGCAACGCCGCGUGAGUGAUGAAGGUCUUCGGAUCGUAAAACUCUGUUAUUAGGGAAGAACAUAUGUGUAAGUAACUGUGCACAUCUUGACGGUACCUAAUCAGAAAGCCACGGCUAACUACGUG